CUAGAGGAGACAUUUCACUAUGAGAAGCUCUGCAAUAGUUCGAACAUUGCUGCUCUGCCAGUGGUUGAGUUGGGUUCAGAGUGAGCAUGAAGGAACUAAAAUGAGUGGCAGAGCCCCAUUUGUAGAGGAACACCUCCAAUUGGAGCCUAAUAAUUUUAAAACAAGCAACGUUGAAGUCAACAGACAGACCGAUAUUUGGGCUGAGUUAAAGGAGCUGAAAGACCUGACCAUUGAGAUGAAGGCUGAAAUAGAGACACUGAAGCAGGAGAAUUUAGCUUUAAAGACCAGAUUACAUCUCAGCGAAUCGCAGGUAGAGGCGCUCAAACAAACAAGUGCAAAUUUGGAAAACAAAAUCAGCCAAAGUGAGAUGGAGGAUCACAAAACUAAGAGCAUGGG
This is a long non-coding RNA of Cyprinodon tularosa, 396 nucleotides long. RefSeq lists it as uncharacterized. The record is from RefSeq and is a predicted model, not a curated record. The transcript has 3 exons. NCBI's taxonomy places the organism in Eukaryota, Metazoa, Chordata, Actinopteri, Cyprinodontiformes, Cyprinodontidae.